Molecule: ribosomal RNA, 529 nt
Filed under: Dujonia santamariae
Lineage: Eukaryota; Fungi; Ascomycota; Pichiomycetes; Serinales; Debaryomycetaceae
Description: [Candida] santamariae partial large subunit ribosomal RNA
Rfam family: Eukaryotic large subunit ribosomal RNA
Source: RNAcentral
AAACCAACAGGGAUUGCCUUAGUAACGGCGAGUGAAGCGGCAAAAGCUCAAAUUUGAAAUCUAGCACUUUCAGUGUUCGAGUUGUAAUUUGAAGAAGGUAACUUUGGAAUUGGCUCUUGUCUAUGUUCCUUGGAACAGGACGUCACAGAGGGUGAGAAUCCCGUGCGAUGAGAUGUCCAAUUCUAUGUAAAGUGCUUUCGAAGAGUCGAGUUGUUUGGGAAUGCAGCUCUAAGUGGGUGGUAAAUUCCAUCUAAAGCUAAAUAUUGGCGAGAGACCGAUAGCGAACAAGUACAGUGAUGGAAAGAUGAAAAGAACUUUGAAAAGAGAGUGAAAAAGUACGUGAAAUUGUUGAAAGGGAAGGGCUUGAGAUCAGACUUGGUAUUUUGCGUUCCCUUCCUUUUUGGUUGGGUUCCUCGCAGUUUACUGGGCCAGCAUCGGUUUGGAUGGUAGGAUAAUGACAUUGGAAUGUAGCUUUACUUCGGUGAAGUGUUAUAGACUUUGUUGAUACUGCCUAUCUAGACCGAGGACU